AGUCAUAUGCUUGUCUCAAAGAUUAAGCCAUGCAUGUGUAAGUACAAGCCGAUUUAAGGCGAAACCGCGAAUGGCUCAUUAAAUCAGCUAUGUUUCAUUGGAUCUGUAAACCCACUUACUUGGAUAACUGUGGCAAUUCUAGAGCUAAUACAUGCAAUUGGUCUCUGACCGCAAGGGAAGAGCGCUUUUAUUAGUUCAAAACUGGUCGGGCCCCGGUCCGUAACCCACCUGUGGUGAAUCUGAAUAACUUCGGGCUGAGCGCACGGUCUCCGCACCGGCGCCGCUUCUUUCAAGUGUCUGCCUUAUCAGCUUUCGAUUGUAGGUUAUGCGCCUACAAUGGCUAUAACGGGUAACGGGGAAUCAGGGUUCGAUUCCGGAGAGGGAGCCUGAGAAACGGCUACCACAUCUAAGGAAGGCAGCAGGCACGCAAAUUACCCACUCCCGGCACGGGGAGGUAGUGACGAAAAAUAACGAUGUGAGUCUCAUCCGAGGCCUCGCAAUCGGAAUGAGUACACUUUAAAUCCUUUAACGAGUAUCCAUUGGAGGGCAAGUCUGGUGCCAGCAGCCGCGGUAAUUCCAGCUCCAAUAGCGUAUAUUAAAGUUGUUGCGGUUAAAAAGCUCGUAGUUGGAUCUCAGUUCCGGACUGACGGUGCACCGCCCGGUGUUUACUGUCACGCUCCGAACAGCCGCCCCGCCGGCUCGCACGGGAUGCUCUUUGUCGAGUGUCCCGAGUGGCCGGAGAGUUUACUUUGAAAAAAUUAGAGUGCUCAGAGC
This 774-nucleotide ribosomal RNA is filed under the name Homarus americanus (American lobster). RNAcentral's name for it is "SSU rRNA". It matches the Rfam family "Eukaryotic small subunit ribosomal RNA", at positions 21 to 781 of the family's 1831-position model. The record is from RNAcentral. Lineage: Eukaryota; Metazoa; Arthropoda; Malacostraca; Decapoda; Nephropidae.